GCUCCCAUGGCGUAGUGGUCACUGCACUCGCCUUUCACGCGGGAGACCCGGGUUCGAUUCCCGGCGGGGUCA
Molecule: transfer RNA, 72 nt
Filed under: Diaphorina citri (Asian citrus psyllid)
Lineage: Eukaryota; Metazoa; Arthropoda; Insecta; Hemiptera; Psyllidae
Description: tRNA-Glu
Rfam family: tRNA
About the family: Transfer RNA (tRNA) molecules are approximately 80 nucleotides in length. Their secondary structure includes four short double-helical elements and three loops (D, anti-codon, and T loops). Further hydrogen bonds mediate the characteristic L-shaped molecular structure. tRNAs have two regions of fundamental functional importance: the anti-codon, which is responsible for specific mRNA codon recognition, and the 3' end, to which the tRNAs corresponding amino acid is attached (by aminoacyl-tRNA synthetases). tRNAs cope with the degeneracy of the genetic code in two manners: having more than one tRNA (with a specific anti-codon) for a particular amino acid; and 'wobble' base-pairing, i.e. permitting non-standard base-pairing at the 3rd anti-codon position.
Source: Rfam by way of RNAcentral